RNAcentral lists this ribosomal RNA (465 nucleotides) under Vreelandella stevensii. RNAcentral describes it as "partial 16S ribosomal RNA". It matches the Rfam family "Bacterial small subunit ribosomal RNA", at positions 338 to 795 of the family's 1533-position model. Lineage: Bacteria; Pseudomonadati; Pseudomonadota; Gammaproteobacteria; Oceanospirillales; Halomonadaceae. The record is from RNAcentral.
CCUACGGGAGGCUGCAGUGGGGAAUAUUGGACAAUGGGCGAAAGCCUGAUCCAGCCAUGCCGCGUGUGUGAAGAAGGCCUUCGGGUUGUAAAGCACUUUCAGUGGGGAAGAAAGCCUUGGGGCUAAUACCCUCGAGGAAGGACAUCACCAACAGAAGAAGCACCGGCUAACUCCGUGCCAGCAGCCGCGGUAAUACGGAGGGUGCGAGCGUUAAUCGGAAUUACUGGGCGUAAAGCGCGCGUAGGCGGUCUGAUAAGCCGGUUGUGAAAGCCCCGGGCUCAACCUGGGAACGGCAUCCGGAACUGUCAGGCUAGAGUGCAGGAGAGGAAGGUAGAAUUCCCGGUGUAGCAGUGAAAUGCGUAGAGAUCGGGAGGAAUACCAGUGGCGAAGGCGGCCUUCUGGACUGACACUGACGCUGAGGUGCGAAAGCGUGGGUAGCAAACAGGAUUAGAUACCCUAGUAGUC